This 388-nucleotide unclassified non-coding RNA is filed under the name soil metagenome. RNAcentral's name for it is "partial contains 5.8S ribosomal RNA, internal transcribed spacer 2, and large subunit ribosomal RNA". The stretch from base 1 to 120 matches the Rfam family "5.8S ribosomal RNA", at positions 35 to 154 of the family's 154-position model. The record is from RNAcentral.
GAUGAAGAACGCAGCGAAAUGCGAUAAGUAAUGUGAAUUGCAGAAUUCAGUGAAUCAUCGAAUCUUUGAACGCACCUUGCGCUCCUUGGUAUUCCGAGGAGCAUGCCUGUUUGAGUGUCAUUAAAUUCUCAACCUCACCAGUUUUGUAACGAGACAGGUGAAGGCUUGGAUGUGGGGGUUUUGCAGGCUGCCUCAGUGCUGGUCUGCUCUCCUGAAAUGCAUUAGCGAGCUCAUAUUGAGCUUCCGUCUAUUGGUGUGAUAAUUAUCUACGCCGUGGAUUGGACUCAUGCUUGCUUCUAGCCGUCCGCAAGGACAAUUUACUUGACCAAUUUGACCUCAAAUCAGGUAGGACUACCCGCUGAACUUAAGCAUAUCAAUAAGCGGAGGA